Molecule: ribosomal RNA, 253 nt
Filed under: uncultured bacterium
Lineage: Bacteria
Description: partial 16S ribosomal RNA
Rfam family: Bacterial small subunit ribosomal RNA
Source: RNAcentral
UACGGGGGGGGCAAGCGUUGUUCGGAAUUACUGGGCGUAAAGGGUCUGUAGGUGGCCAACUAAGUCAGACGUGAAAUCCCUCAGCCUAACUGGGGAACUGCGUCUGAUACUGGAUGGCUUGAGUGCAGGAGAGGAACGCGGAGUUCCAGGUGUAGCGGUGAAAUGCGUAGAUAUCUGGAGGAACACCGGUGGCGAAGGCGGCGUUCUGGACUGCAACUGACACUGAGAGACGAAAGCCAGGGGAGCAAACGGG